UACGAAGGGGGCUAGCGUUGUUCGGAAUCACUGGGCGCAAAGCGCACGUAGGCUGAUCUUUAAGUCAGAGGUGAAAGCCUGGAGCUCAACUCCAGAACUGCCUUUGAUACUGGGGAUCUCGAGUCCGGGAGAGGUGAGUGGAACUGCGAGUGUAGAGGUGAAAUUCGUAGAUAUUCGCAAGAACACCAGUGGCGAAGGCGGCUCACUGGCCCGGUACUGACGCUGAGGUGCGAAAGCGUGGGGAGCAAACAGG
RNAcentral lists this ribosomal RNA (253 nucleotides) under uncultured bacterium. RNAcentral describes it as "partial 16S ribosomal RNA". It matches the Rfam family "Bacterial small subunit ribosomal RNA", at positions 524 to 776 of the family's 1533-position model. The record is from RNAcentral.